UCUGUUAUGUCAUGUCCACUG
This 21-nucleotide non-coding RNA is filed under the name Arabidopsis thaliana (thale cress). The record is from RNAcentral. Lineage: Eukaryota; Viridiplantae; Streptophyta; Magnoliopsida; Brassicales; Brassicaceae.